UACAGAGGAGCCAAGCGUUGUCCGGAUUGACUGGGCGUAAAGCGCACGCAGGCGGAUGCGCGCGUGGGGUGUGAAAUCUGGCCGCUUAACGGCCAGGCGCCAUCCCAUACGGCGCGUCUGGAGUGAUGCAGAGGUCGGUGGAAUUGCCGGUGUAGUGGUGAAAUGCGUAGAGAUCCGGAGGAACACCAGUGGCGAAGGCGACACGCUGGGCCGUACCUGACACUGAUGCGCGACAGCAUGGGGAGCAAACAGG
Molecule: ribosomal RNA, 253 nt
Filed under: uncultured bacterium
Lineage: Bacteria
Description: partial 16S ribosomal RNA
Rfam family: Bacterial small subunit ribosomal RNA
Source: RNAcentral